RNAcentral lists this non-coding RNA (21 nucleotides) under Arabidopsis thaliana (thale cress). Lineage: Eukaryota; Viridiplantae; Streptophyta; Magnoliopsida; Brassicales; Brassicaceae. The record is from RNAcentral.
UCUAUAGUCCAGAUGAAUUGC